UUUUGACCUCAAAUCAAGUAAGGAUACCCGCUGAACUUAAGCAUAUCAAUAA
RNAcentral lists this ribosomal RNA (52 nucleotides) under Saccharomycopsis microspora. Its description in RNAcentral is "partial 26S large subunit ribosomal RNA". The record is from RNAcentral. Lineage: Eukaryota; Fungi; Ascomycota; Saccharomycetes; Ascoideales; Saccharomycopsidaceae.